Molecule: ribosomal RNA, 484 nt
Filed under: uncultured Leucobacter sp.
Lineage: Bacteria; Bacillati; Actinomycetota; Actinomycetes; Micrococcales; Microbacteriaceae
Description: bacterial SSU rRNA
Rfam family: Bacterial small subunit ribosomal RNA
Source: RNAcentral
ACUCCGUGGCACGAGACGACGCUGGCGGCGUGCUUAACACAUGCAAGUCGAACGCUGAAGCCCCAGCUUGCUGGGGUGGAUGAGUGGCGAACGGGUGAGUAACACGUGAGUAACCUGCCCAUCACUCUGGGAUAAGCGCUGGAAACGGCGUCUAAUACUGGAUACGAGCAGCGACCGCAUGGUCAGCUGCUGGAAAGACUGGUUCGGUGAUGGAUGGACUCGCGGCCUAUCAGCUUGUUGGUGAGGUAAUGGCUCACCAAGGCGACGACGGGUAGCCGGCCUGAGAGGGUGACCGGCCACACUGGGACUGAGACACGGCCCAGACUCCUACGGGAGGCAGCAGUGGGGAAUAUUGCACAAUGGGCGCAAGCCUGAUGCAGCAACGCCGCGUGAGGGAUGACGGCCUUCGGGUUGUAAACCUCUUUUAGUAGGGAAGAAGCUUCGGGUGACGGUACCUGCAGAAAAAGCACCGGCUAACUACGUG